Molecule: long non-coding RNA, 1692 nt
Filed under: Betta splendens (Siamese fighting fish)
Lineage: Eukaryota; Metazoa; Chordata; Actinopteri; Anabantiformes; Osphronemidae
Description: lncRNA (ENSBSLG00000015277.1)
Source: RNAcentral
UCAAUAAAACAUAUUUUUUAUUGUUUUUUUGUAUUAUUAUUAUUACUGUGUCAGAGACUCGGGCAGGCGGCGAACCCACAUGCACAGCACAGAGGCAGGAUUACGAUCAGAAAGGUUUAUUCUUAAGGCACGGUCAGACGGUCCAGGUCAUACACGAAAUGGCUCGACAAAAGUACAGGCAGGGAACAGGCAAAAACUCACGGUCAGUAGAUACUCCAGGGUCAGGCAGGAUACAUGGUGCAAACAGGAAUAAACACGAAAAACACGAACACGCAGGGAACUCAGGAGACUAGGGACGCUCAACUCACAAGAAACACGAACACUCAGGGAACUCGAAUACGGCAAUCUGGCAGGGAACUAAGGACACAGGUGGUGGUUAAAUACACAGUGACUUGAUGACUAACAGAGUGCAGGUGUGGGUAAUGAGCAGGGACAGCUGUGACAAGACAAGAAACCGGAAGUAAAGCUAGAACACAAAACAGAGACCGGGAGACUACCAAAAUAAAACAGGAAACGGAAACUGGAACCAAAAUAAGACAAGCAGGACAUGACGUGAAAACAGGGAACAACUAGAAACAAAGACACGGAUCAUGACAGUACCCCCCCCCCCCUAUGGCGCCUUCCACGGCGCCUACGGAAGCCUCCCCCCCCAAACCAGGGCGGGCGGAGGGUGGUCCCAGGCGGAGGGACCGAAUCCCUACCCCUCAAGGUACAUGAGCAGGGUGGGUGGAGGGAGGACCGGAGGAGGGCCAAAACAAGAGUCCACACGAAAACCUCAAAGUCCAUGAACAGGAAAAUAAAAAAAAAGUCCAGGGAUUCCGUCACGGAGGGUGACGGCGUGGCGAGAUCCUGCUCAGCAGCCGCUGAGCCAGGAUGGCACUCUUAGUGCCCUUGAGCUGGGACGAUGUCCCCGGGGACCACCCCGCAUGGCAGCGUCCACCAGGCGGACGCUGAUCCAGGCGGUUGAGGAGUCGAGGCGGACGGCGCCGCAGGAGGCAGCGCCAUCCCAGCAGCAGGAUGCGCCGAGGGCGAGGCCACCAGUCCGGCAGCAAAGGCAGAGACGAGGCAGGAACCAGCGGCGUCCUCCUUGGACCACCGCGACGAGAGGCAGGAACCGAAGCAGAUGCGGCAGGAGCUACGGCGGGAGCGACCCCCUCCUGGAGGUCGGCAGGAGCUACGGCGGGAGCGACCCCCUCCUGGAGGUCGGCAGGAGCUACGGCGGGAGCGACCCCCUCCUGGAGGUCGGCAGGAACUACGACGGGAGCGACCCCCUCCUGGAGGUCGGCAGGAACUACGACGGGAGCGACCCCCUCCUGGAGGUCGGCAGGAACUACGACGGGAGCGACCCCCUCCUGGAGGUCGGCAGGAACUACGACGGGAGCGACCCCCUCCUGGAGGUCGGCAGGAACUACGACGGGAGCGACCCCCUCCUGGAGGUCGGCAGGAACUACGACGGGAGCGACCCCCUCCUGGAGGUCGGCAGGAACUACGGCGGGAGCGACCCCCUCCUGGGGGUCCGCCGGGACUGCGGCGGGCGCGACCCCCUCCUGGGGGUCCGCCGGGACUGCGGCGGGCGCGACCCCCUCCUAGGGGUCCGCCGGGACUGCGGCGGGCGCGACCCCCUCCUGGGGGUCCGCCGGGACUGCGGCGGGCGCGACCCCCUCCUGGAGGUCCGCCGGAACUGCGGCUGGC